RNAcentral lists this long non-coding RNA (1994 nucleotides) under Sus scrofa (pig). Its description in RNAcentral is "lncRNA (ENSSSCG00065036999.1)". The record is from RNAcentral. Lineage: Eukaryota; Metazoa; Chordata; Mammalia; Artiodactyla; Suidae.
UUUUUUUUUUUUUUUUAACCACCAGGUAGGUAUUGACAUGGUCUUGUUGCCUGUAGCAAAGGACAUUGGAUGUCUGGAUGUGCACAGGGCCCCAGGCUUGACUGCAACCUUACACCCAUCUCUGCCCUUCCUUCUUGAGCUGCCUGCCUGGGCCUUUGCACCAGCUCUCAAGUGAGUGUCCAGCUGACCUGACCUGCGGUGCAGUCUCUGGUCUCUGGCAGCCCAAGGGCAGGGGGACCAUGAGGUAUGAGUCCCCCACCCCGUGUCCCCCACCCCGUGUGCGGUGUGAGUCCCCCACCCCGUGUGCUCCCCACAGGCCCAUGGCAGUAGAUGUGACAACUGCAUCAUGUAAGGUCCAUGCCAGUUCAAGAUUCAGCUACAAUCCUCCCAGAACUAUUAUGCCCUCUCACUGGAGAAAAGGUGGAUGGUGAGGCUACGGCAGCCACAUCUGGCAGUUGUCCUCGCUGGCUUCUCACAUGGAGAUUCCAAGCAACUGGACUGACAGAUGUGGUGCUGUCAUGCUCUCCAGGGCCAGGCCUAAGCCAUGCCUAAUGAAAGACAGGCAUUCGUGGCAAAUGGGGCUGCUCUUGUCCUGUCUCUGUGCCCCUUGCUUCUCCUCCCCACCUGUUGAUGUGUGUGGGAGGCAGGGGUGUGGAAUCUGGCCUGAUCUGUCUCUUACCCUCCUCUUCAGAGUAUAGGUGGGCCAGUGUCAUCUGAUGCAGGGAACAUAGGUCUCACCUCCCUGGCUCAUAUCUUGUGAGUGGCCCUCCCUGCCAUGGGUAGGGUCACCCCACCACUGUGCUUUAUGCUCCCCUUGAUGUGUGAGUAGGACUCACCUGCUCCUCUGUGGUGCUCCUGGAGUGAUCCAGGUUGACCCUCAGGUGCCUGAGGCCAAGCAAAGUGUUUUUCCUAUUCCCAGCAAGCCCCUUGGGUCUCCCAUUACUUUGAGCAGCUUUCUUCAGGGUUGGGAUAGUAAGGGAGGCACACCUUGUCCCACUUGUGUAGCAAGAACCUUAUUCUGUUUGUCCUCACUGUGCCAGAGGAACAAACUUGGCCAGCCACAUGCCAUGAGCUCCCUCUUUGCCAGGACUGCACACAGGCAUGCGCACAAUAGUGGUAGGCCAGGCAAUGCCAAGAGGGAGCUCAGUCUGACUUCAGUGUCCAGCACAGGGCUGUGUGUGUGUGCAUGCGUCUGUGGUUCCCCAGUCAAGUGCCAAGGGGGGUGCUCUGUCCUGACUCCUCUGUCCCCCGCUGUGAGCAACUCCCAUCCUGGUCACAGCCUGUAAUGACAUGCAGUCAUGGGUUGGGCUGCCUUGCUCAGGAAUAUUUCCUCCGGCUAUGAGCCUGGGGCAGAGCAGAUGAAGAUGGAGAGAUCUGCAUGGAUGGGUGACCAGAUGGGUGGUUCCUCCAUGGCAGGACUUAUACACAUGGGCCUGGUGGUGUACCUGGGUCAAAGGAGAUUUAGAAGUGGUCAAGACCGGCUGACAUCCCAAGUGUUGUGGGACCAAUCUUGUGCCUUUAGUGGUGAGCUGACACGCUCAUUUUCCUGGCGGCCCAAUCACAUCUGAGCCUUUCUUUUUCUAAUUACUGGCCCUGCCCCUGCCUGCUGCUGCCCUUCUCCAUUAUCACUGGUCCUCUCUGGCCCAAGCAGAUGAUUGUUAGCACCACCAGCAACUGGGACUGAAAUGGCCUUGCACUGUCUGCCUCAUCCCUGGCUGCCAUGGCUGGAAGUGUCCCCAGAUGAAGUGUUCUUGGGCCCACUGGGGGACUCAGCAACAGGAGGUGUAUGUGAGGCCAAGAAUCACUGGUGUGUGGGAGAGAGUUCUCAUGGACUGGCUGUGGAUCUGCGCUGUUGGAGGUAGGGGUUGCAAGCCCUGUGAGAGUACCCUGGGGACCAAGAAGGCAAUAAGACUUCCAAUGUGCUCUCCAGAAGUGAGACACAGUGCCAUGCCCUGGCAGCUGACUCCUGCCCAGGUUGUUUGGUCAGCCCUAUG